UACGUAGGCAGCGAGCGUUGUUCGGAGUUACUGGGCGUAAAGGGUGUGUAGGCGGUUGUUUAAGUUUGGCGUGAAAUCUCCCGGCUCAACUGGGAGGGUGCGUCGAAUACUGAAUGACUUGGAGUGCGGGAGAGGAAAGUGGAAUUCCUGGUGUAGCGGUGAAAUGCGUAGAUAUCAGGAGGAACACCGGUGGUGUAGACGGCUCACUGGACCGUAACUGACGCUGAGACACGAAAGCGUGGGUAGCAAACAGG
This 254-nucleotide ribosomal RNA is filed under the name uncultured bacterium. RNAcentral describes it as "partial 16S ribosomal RNA". It matches the Rfam family "Bacterial small subunit ribosomal RNA", at positions 524 to 776 of the family's 1533-position model. The record is from RNAcentral.